CUUGAUUCAGCGGCGGACGGGUGAGUAAUGCCUAGGAAUCUGCCUGGUAGUGGGGGACAACGUUUCGAAAGGAACGCUAAUACCGCAUACGUCCUACGGGAGAAAGCAGGGGACCUUCGGGCCUUGCGCUAUCAGAUGAGCCUAGGUCGGAUUAGCUAGUUGGUGAGGUAAUGGCUCACCAAGGCGACGAUCCGUAACUGGUCUGAGAGGAUGAUCAGUCACACUGGAACUGAGACACGGUCCAGACUCCUACGGGAGGCAGCAGUGGGGAAUAUUGGACAAUGGGCGAAAGCCUGAUCCAGCCAUGCCGCGUGUGUGAAGAAGGUCUUCGGAUUGUAAAGCACUUUAAGUUGGGAGGAAGGGCAGUAAGUUAAUACCUUGCUGUUUUGACGUUACCGACAGAAUAAGCACCGGCUAACUCUGUGCCAGCAGCCGCGGUAAUACAGAGGGUGCAAGCGUUAAUCGGAAUUACUGGGCGUAAAGCGCGCGUAGGUGGUUCGUUAAGUUGGAUGUGAAAGCCCCGGGCUCAACCUGGGAACUGCAUCCAAAACUGGCGAGCUAGAGUACGGUAGAGGGUUGGUGGAAUUUCCUGUGUAGCGGUGAAAUGCGUAGAUAUAGGAAGGAACACCAGUGGCGAAGGCGACCACCUGGACUGAUACUGACACUGAGGUGC
This 673-nucleotide ribosomal RNA is filed under the name Pseudomonas sp. RNAcentral's name for it is "bacterial SSU rRNA". It matches the Rfam family "Bacterial small subunit ribosomal RNA", at positions 86 to 754 of the family's 1533-position model. The record is from RNAcentral. Lineage: Bacteria; Pseudomonadati; Pseudomonadota; Gammaproteobacteria; Pseudomonadales; Pseudomonadaceae.